AAUCACUACUAGGGGUGCCCUGUGAUCGGGCUGAGAGAAAACGAGAACGUUUUUAACCCUUUGGACCUGAUCUGGGUAAUACCAGCGUAGGAAAGUAGACCAUGUGAAAU
RNAcentral lists this non-coding RNA (110 nucleotides) under Bacillus sp. (in: firmicutes). RNAcentral describes it as "Bacillus sp. TPP sequence". It matches the Rfam family "TPP riboswitch aptamer (THI element)". From Rfam's summary of the family: Vitamin B(1) in its active form thiamin pyrophosphate (TPP) is an essential coenzyme that is synthesised by coupling of pyrimidine and thiazole moieties in bacteria. The previously detected thiamin-regulatory element, thi box was extended, resulting in a new, highly conserved RNA secondary structure, the THI element, which is widely distributed in eubacteria and also occurs in some archaea. Lineage: Bacteria; Bacillati; Bacillota; Bacilli; Caryophanales; Bacillaceae. The record is from RNAcentral.